Rosa chinensis is the source of this 553-nucleotide long non-coding RNA. RefSeq lists it as uncharacterized. NCBI's taxonomy places the organism in Eukaryota, Viridiplantae, Streptophyta, Magnoliopsida, Rosales, Rosaceae. The transcript has 3 exons. The record is from RefSeq and is a predicted model, not a curated record.
GCUCCGCCCUAGGUAUGGAGGAGCUUCUUAUUCAGUGGCUGCACCGGGCCCGAUUCUUCACUGAGAGUCUCCAACACAGCCCACCGAGCCCAAUCAACCUGAUCCGACCGGCUUUUCGAGAUCGAGAUAAACCCCUCCGUUCUCGAGACCCGAUCCCUGGUGGCCAGUAUGGAGAACCACUCGUCGAGCCCAACACGGCGUUAUUUAAUCUCGUCCUCAAGGCUAUGCACGGUGGCAAAGAGUCGGAAGUCGCUAAUGUUGAGUACAGUGAAUCAGUGGUUGAUUGAUCUUGGAACUCCAGGGUGGUUAAGAUAUUUAAGUUUGAAGUGCCAUGAAUAGAACAGAUUCAAGAUCUUGAGAAUGAUAUGAUGAAGUACUUCAGAGAGGAUCUGCAUAGGCAGCUUCUUAGUACAUAUUUUAAGAAGCAAGUCGAUGGGCUUGAGAUACUGCAGAAGGCACUUCCUAGAAAGGAAAUUACUGUAGUUCUGGAUAUACUGCCUAGGUGGUUUGUUUUACAAUUUUGUAAAUCGAACAUAACAUCUCUGUUAAAGGU